Molecule: ribosomal RNA, 117 nt
Filed under: Pseudomonadota bacterium
Lineage: Bacteria; Pseudomonadati; Pseudomonadota
Description: partial 16S ribosomal RNA
Rfam family: Bacterial small subunit ribosomal RNA
Source: RNAcentral
GAACUGAAGAGUUUGAUCCUGGCUCAGAUUGAACGCUGGCGGCAUGCCUUACACAUGCAAGUCGAACGGCAGCACGGGAGCAAUCCUGGUGGCGAGUGGCGAACGGGUGAGUAAUAC